Molecule: ribosomal RNA, 496 nt
Filed under: uncultured bacterium
Lineage: Bacteria
Description: partial 16S ribosomal RNA
Rfam family: Bacterial small subunit ribosomal RNA
Source: RNAcentral
AUUCACGCUGGCGGCGUGCCUCAUCCAUGCAAGUCGCGCGCACAGACGAGGAGCUUGCUCCUCUGACGUUAGCGGCGGACGGGUGAGUAACACGUGGAUAACCUACCUAUAAGACUGGGAUAACUUCGGGAAACCGGAGCUAAUACCGGAUAAUAUAUUGAACCGCAUGGUUCAAUAGUGAAAGACGGUUUUGCUGUCACUUAUAGAUGGAUCCGCGCCGCAUUAGCUAGUUGGUAAGGUAACGGCUUACCAAGGCGACGAUGCGUAGCCGACCUGAGAGGGUGAUCGGCCACACUGGAACUGAGACACGGUCCAGACUCCUACGGGAGGCAGCAGUAGGGAAUCUUCCGCAAUGGGCGAAAGCCUGACGGAGCAACGCCGCGUGAGUGAUGAAGGUCUUCGGAUCGUAAAACUCUGUUAUUAGGGAAGAACAAAUGUGUAAGUAACUAUGCACGUCUUGACGGUACCUAAUCAGAAAGCCACGGCUAACUACGUG